CCAAAGAUGUUCUGGUUAGGCCACCUCGCAAUUCCAGACUGAAAUUUUGUGAGUAACAGUAAGAUGUUAUUGGCAGCAGAUGGGACUUCUGGUUUCCUUUCAUCACCUGCUUCACGGUCAAAGAAAAAAAAAAAACAAUGGUCCAGUCAAACUUAAGGGAGAACUUAUGACCAGAAGAUUGAUGGCAUUUGAAUCACCGGCAUCACUUCCGAUGUCUGUUUGACUGGACCCACCUCUGAUCAGUCAGAACCAGACUCCCGUCUGAAAAGAUGUUUAAUCACAUUUUGUUUACCUUUUUGAAAUUCAGUUGCUCACCCAUACCCCAACACUCUUUAUUGUGUCUUACAUUGUCUAAUUAAAAGCAGAACUUGGCUUCUUACAUUUGAGAUUGAACACAGACCCCUAUAUAUUGUGAGCCGGGGGGCUGAUUGCACCCUCAGAGAAUACAGAUGUUCCUGGGAAAACCCCUUAAAAACGUUGACAGACUACCUUCACAUUGCUCUUUACCUUAUUUGU
Long non-coding RNA from Polypterus senegalus (gray bichir), 516 nucleotides. RefSeq lists it as uncharacterized. The record is from RefSeq and is a predicted model, not a curated record. The transcript has 3 exons. Lineage: Eukaryota; Metazoa; Chordata; Cladistia; Polypteriformes; Polypteridae.